Molecule: ribosomal RNA, 164 nt
Filed under: uncultured bacterium
Lineage: Bacteria
Description: partial 16S ribosomal RNA
Rfam family: Bacterial small subunit ribosomal RNA
Source: RNAcentral
UAGGGAAUCUUCCACAAUGGACGCAAGUCUGAUGGAGCAACGCCGCGUGAGUGAAGAAGGGUUUCGGCUCGUAAAGCUCUGUUGUUAAAGAAGAACGUGGGUAAGAGUAACUGUUUACCCAGUGACGGUAUUUAACCAGAAAGCCACGGCUAACUACGUGCCAU